This 261-nucleotide long non-coding RNA is filed under the name Brassica napus (rape). Its description in RNAcentral is "long non-coding RNA (BNAP_LNC024378)". The record is from RNAcentral. Lineage: Eukaryota; Viridiplantae; Streptophyta; Magnoliopsida; Brassicales; Brassicaceae.
GUGGUGGAGUUUUGAGGAUAGAGUUUCAAAUUUAGAAAAAAUAAAAAUUAAAAAUUUUAAAAUAAAAAUUAAAAAUUUUCUAAAGCUAUUUGGAAAGUGUUUAUAAAAUAUUUUUCCGCUGAUUUUAAAGUAAAUAAAUUAAUUUUAAUUUAAUUAUUUAUAUGUGUAUGAGCACGGGAAAAGCAUCUAGCAAACAAUUAUUUGGUAAAACUAGUUUUUUUUAUAAUUUAAGAAAUCCGCUAAAAAAGAAUCUUGAUUAGC